UUAAACCAUCUGGGGGAUGGCUCGGCUCAAAAGCCGAUGAAGGGCGUGACAAGCUGCGAAAAGCUCGGGCGAGGUGCAUGUAGCCAUUGAACCCGAGAUCCCCGAAUUGGACUCCUGCACAGGCAAAACCUGUGCGCUCGGUAACGAGCGGGAACGCGGGGGAAUGAAGCAUCUUAGUACCCGCAGGAAAAGAAAGCAAUGGCGAUGCCGUUAUUAAAGGCGAUCGAAAGCGGCACAGGGCAAACUGAAUCCUGCAUGGAAACAUGUAGGAGAUGUGGUGUUGAUAUGUCCGCUGAACCCUAGUAAACUAAAGCCGAAGUGAGAUGGAAUGCUCCGUCUGAGAGGGUGAGAGCCCCGUAGGCGUAUGUUUAAGGGUUCUGGACAUGUCGAGAGUAGCACGGGUCGGAUAUCUCGUGUGAAGAUGGGAGGCAUCGACUCCUAACCCUAAAUACUUUUUGAGACCGAUAGUGAACUAGUACCGUGAGGGAAAGCUGAAAAGUACCCCCGACAGGGGGUGAAAAGAGCCUGAAACCAGGUGGUUAUAGCCCGUAGUGGCGUGAAAGGGUAGAGUCUCUCUGAAGGAAAGUAUCGUGAGGUACCUGUACGAAGAGAGAGGACCAGCGUCACUACAUACGUUUUGAAAAACGGGGCGGGGACUCUAUGGUCAUGGCGAGGUUAAGGAGUAUAACUCCGGAGCCGCAGGGAAACCAACAGGCCCGCAGCUCUUUAUGAGCAAGGGGCGGAGUGCGAAAGUGCUCGGAGUCAUGGCUGUGGGACCCGAAACCGGUCGAUCUAGCCCAGGGCAGGGUGAAGCGUGGCGAAAGCCACGUGGAGGCUCGAACCGGUGCUGAUAUUCAAAUCGCUCGGUUGACUUUGGGCUAGGGGUGAAAGGCCAAUCAAGGCCGGUGUCGGCUGGUUCCUUCCGAAAUGUGUCGAAGCACAGCUUGACUGGAGGUAGUUAGCGACGUAGAGAUACUGAUUGGGUGUUUAGGGGGCGAAAGCCCUCGGCAUCCUGUCAAACUCCGAAGCUGCUAACGCCGUAGAAGGUCAAAGUGAGGGCGUGGGGGUAAGCUCCAUGUCCGAAAGGGGAAUAACCCAGCCUGAGGUUAAGGUCCGUAAGUGCAUGCUAAGUGCCAAAUAGGAAGGGAGUUCUUGGCCUAAGACAGCGAGGAGGUAGGCUUAGAAGCAGCCAUCCUUUAAAGAGUGCGUAACAGCUCACCCGCCGAGGUCAAGGGCCCUGAAAAUCGACAGGGUUAAGCAUGCCACCGAUACCUCAGAGAAGCGCAAGCUUAUCUCGUAGGAAGGCGUCCUGCUAGGGUAGAAGCUGGGGCGUAAGUUCCAGUGGACCUUGCAGGAAUGAGAAUCCCGCCAGUAGUAGCAGCAAAGUGGGGUGAGAAUCCCCACCGCCGUAGGGGCGAGGCUUCCUCGGCAACUAUCGUAGGCUGAGGGUUAGUCGGUCCUAAGGACAUGCACAAUUUGACAUGUUCGAAAGGGAAACAGGUUAAUAUUCCUGUACCUCUCAGGUACAUGCGGCAACGCGAGCCUUUUUCCAGACGCUUUGGGCUAAGCCGAGCAGGGCUGUCACCCUGUUUAAGCGUAUAAACGUGGGGAGUACCGUAAUGGUGAGAACCAGGCGAAAGCGUGAACAGGCCUCUGUAUAGAGGCUUCGGCUUAUAGCUUGGAGCCCGUGAAAAUGGAAAGAGGAAGGAUCCUGAGAGUCCGUACCUAGAACUGACGCAGGUGUCUCUGGGUGAGAAGCCUAAGGCGCGUCGGAGAAACGCAGUCGAGGGAAUUCGGCAAAAUGGCCCCGUAUCUUCGGUAGAAGGGGUGCCAGCUCUGUGUAAGAGCUGGUCGCAGUGACCAGGGGGCUCCGACUGUUUAAUAAAAACAUAGGUAAUCGCAAGCCCGUAAGGGUGAGUACGGUUGCUAACUCCUGCCCAGUGCUGGUACGUGAAACCCCGGUUCAACGGGGUGAAGCGCCGGUAAACGGCGGGGGUAACUAUGACCCUCUUAAGGUAGCGUAAUACCUUGCCGCUUAAUUGGCGGCUUGCAUGAAUGGAUGAACGAGAGCCCUACUGUCCCCGACUGCGGUCCGGUGAACCUGUUAUGCUGGUGCACAGACCAGCGACCCCCAACGGGUAAAGAAGACCCUGUGGACCUUUACUGCAGCCUGUCGUUGUGUUAUGGUUGUGGAUGUAGAGUGUAGGCAGAAGCCAUCGAAGCCUGCUCGCCAGGGCAGGUGGAGGCGCCAAUGGAACACUGCCCAUCUACGACUAUAUCACUAACUGCUUUGGCAGGACAUCGGUUGGUGGGCAGUUUGGCUGGGGCGGCACCCCCCUGAAAAGAUAUCAGGGGGGCUCUAUGGUUGGCUCAACCGGGUCAGAAAUCCGGUGUAGAGUGUAAGGGCAAAAGCCAGCCUGACUGGAUUCCGCACAGCAAGGAAUCCAGCCGCGAAAGCGUGACCUAACGAACCACCGAGUGCUCCUCGAUGGGGCCCGGUGAUAACAGAAAAGGUACCUCAGGGAUAACUGAGUUGUCGCGGGCAAGAGUUCACAUCGACCCCGCGGCUUGCUACUUCGAUGUCGGCUCUUCCUACCCUGGAGGUGCAGCAGCCUCCAAGGGUGGGGUUGUUCGCCCAUUAAAAGGGAUCGUGAGCUGGGUUUAGACCGUCGUGAGACAGGUUAGUUUUUAACUGUUGGGGGUGUUGGUCGUCUGAGGGGAAGCAGCGUUUAGUACGAGAGGAACGGCGCUGCGUGGCCUCUGGUCUACCUGUUGUCCGACAGGGCAUGCAGGGCAGCUACGCCGCAAGGGAUAAGAACUGAAGGCAUCUAAGUUCGAAACCCACCUCGAAAAGAGACGGCCAUUUCUCAGCACGUUCAGUAAGUCCAAAGUGUUAUAAAAGGCGCUUCGGGUUGACACUGGAUGGAAAACCGGGGUUCGCGAGGACAACGGCUGCUGAGAACAAGGGCACGGGUAGAAGACCCGUUUGAUAGGGCAGGGGUGUAAGCUGCAAGCCUUCGGGCGAGUAGUUCAGCCCGCUGCUACUAAUUGCCCGAGG
Molecule: ribosomal RNA, 3058 nt
Filed under: archaeon BMS3Bbin15
Lineage: Archaea
Description: bacterial LSU rRNA
Rfam family: Archaeal large subunit ribosomal RNA
Source: RNAcentral